UUGCACGCUGGCGGCAGGCCUAACACAUGCAAGUCGCGCGGAUGAAGGGAGCUUGCUCCUGGCUUCAGCGGCGGACGGGUGAGUAAUGCCUAGGAAUCUGCCUGGUAGUGGGGGAUAACGUCCGGAAACGGGCGCUAAUACCGCAUACGUCCUGAGGGAGCAAGUGGGGGAUCUUCGGCCCUCACGCUAUCAGAUGAGCCUAGGUCGGAUUAGCUCGUUGGUGGGGUAAAGGCCUACCAAGGCGACGAUCCGUAACUGGUCUGAGAGGAUGAUCAGUCACACUGGAACUGAGACACGGUCCAGACUCCUACGGGAGGCAGCAGUGGGGAAUAUUGGACAAUGGGCGAAAGCCUGAUCCAGCCAUGCCGCGUGUGUGAAGAAGGUCUUCGGAUUGUAAAGCACUUUAAGUUGGGAGGAAGGGCAGUAAGUUAAUACCUUACUGUUUUGACGUUACCAACAGAAUAAGCACCGGCUAACUUCGUG
This 483-nucleotide ribosomal RNA is filed under the name uncultured bacterium. Its description in RNAcentral is "partial 16S ribosomal RNA". It matches the Rfam family "Bacterial small subunit ribosomal RNA", at positions 30 to 507 of the family's 1533-position model. The record is from RNAcentral.